This 547-nucleotide ribosomal RNA is filed under the name Colletotrichum gloeosporioides. RNAcentral's name for it is "eukaryotic LSU rRNA". The stretch from base 190 to 343 matches the Rfam family "5.8S ribosomal RNA". Lineage: Eukaryota; Fungi; Ascomycota; Sordariomycetes; Glomerellales; Glomerellaceae. The record is from RNAcentral.
CUGCGGAGGGAUCAUUACUGAGUUUACGCUCUACAACCCUUUGUGAACAUACCUAUAACUGUUGCUUCGGCGGGUAGGGUCUCCGUGACCCUCCCGGCCUCCCGCCCCCGGGCGGGUCGGCGCCCGCCGGAGGAUAACCAAACUCUGAUUUAACGACGUUUCUUCUGAGUGGUACAAGCAAAUAAUCAAAACUUUUAACAACGGAUCUCUUGGUUCUGGCAUCGAUGAAGAACGCAGCGAAAUGCGAUAAGUAAUGUGAAUUGCAGAAUUCAGUGAAUCAUCGAAUCUUUGAACGCACAUUGCGCCCGCCAGCAUUCUGGCGGGCAUGCCUGUUCGAGCGUCAUUUCAACCCUCAAGCUCUGCUUGGUGUUGGGGCCCUACAGCUGAUGUAGGCCCUCAAAGGUAGUGGCGGACCCUCUCGGAGCCUCCUUUGCGUAGUAACUUUACGUCUCGCACUGGGAUCCGGAGGGACUCUUGCCGUAAAACCCCCAAUUUUCCAAAGGUUGACCUCGGAUCAGGUAGGAAUACCCGCUGAACUUAAGCAUAU